GUUUUAGUGGUGUAAUUAAACACAUUAUAUUUUCACUAUAAAACUGGGAAUUUUCCCCUAAAAUU
This 65-nucleotide transfer RNA is filed under the name Austinogebia edulis. Its description in RNAcentral is "tRNA-Glu". Lineage: Eukaryota; Metazoa; Arthropoda; Malacostraca; Decapoda; Upogebiidae. The record is from RNAcentral.